UUUUUUUCUCAAGAUUCUGUCCAAGUUGCCACACACAAGCAACUCACCAAUGUAACAAUUCAAAACUUUAAUCAACACUAACCAAACAAAAAUAAAAGUGUCUUCUUACUUGGUUCCAAAAGAGUCUUGAUCGAAAACCGUUGAAUGCAUGAAACAGAGAAGAUUUCCUUGAGUUCUUGAAUCCCCAAUGUUGAUUGCUAAAUAACUAAGAGACGAAUCUAAAUAUUUGAUGGAGUUGUGUUUUGAUUGCUAAUGGGAUUGCAUCAAAGUUGAAUUUGAGUUUGAGGUUACUUAGAAUGUUGGGAAGUUAAGAUGAAAAAUUAAUUUGAACACUCUAGAAUCUUCAUGCCUUACCCGUUUAAAACAACCUAAUUCUUAUACGUUGUUGCGCAUGAGUGGUUGCACUGCUGUACAUCUCGGUUCAAAAAUUAAGCAUUAUUGUGCAUGGUAUGUAGUGACUUCUAACCUUGCGAGCGUUGUUUCGCUUCCAUGUUGUGUUGUUGCGCUUAACCCAUGCGCAACUGCGUUGAAUGUUUUAUUUUUAUGGCUCAGGCGUGUUGGUGCUGGUUUUGCCCUCGACAUUCCUGAAGUUCAAAGCCUUGACAUGCUUCCACUCUCAAUCUCCCAAUUUGUUACCUAAAAAAUUAUUUUCGCAUCAAUACAAACUAAAACACAAAAUAACUGAAUAAUUCGAAUGAAUUCUAAUUAACAUCCAACCUACGUAUAUCAAUUGAAAUUAAAAACUAGAUAUAAUUUACUAAAAUGAAUAAGAAAUUAACAUGCAAACUAAAAAUAAUCUUAAACUCUUGGGUUGCCUCCCAGCAAAGCUUAGUUUAUAGUCAUCAGCCUAACUUCUUCAAUUCUGCUAUCCAAUUCCUCUUCGAAAAUUAAGGAACCCUCCAUCCAUCAGUAGCACUUUGAUAUUUGAGGGCAUAUCUUUUGGAAGUGCCCUUGAUUCAAAGUUACCUAGCUUUGAUAGAAUAUUUUACAAGAACUUUAUGUAACUAGGUCUUUGUC
Molecule: long non-coding RNA, 1017 nt
Filed under: Panax ginseng (ginseng)
Lineage: Eukaryota; Viridiplantae; Streptophyta; Magnoliopsida; Apiales; Araliaceae
Description: long non-coding RNA (PGIN_LNC004708)
Source: RNAcentral